AGUGGCGGCGCGGGGGCGAUUUGCUCAGGGGCUUUCCAUCGAUGCUGCUUGUCGCAUCUUAGAUGCAUUUGGUGAUCCUUCUUAGAUUUUGAAGCCUCAUGUGGGGGAUCACGCGGGCCUAGCUGCCAGGGUGCUCGAAUCUUUGGUGAGUGAUCCAGGGUAGUGGCCUCGGCGGCACAGCCUCAUGUUGCCUGCUCCAGUUCACCUUCCUUUACCAAUUCGCACAUAACGAGAAGGUGAUGCCAGGUCCUAACGUUUCUUCUCUUAUUUGGAUUUGGCUGAUUGCCGUAAUAUAGUUUGGUAAAGCUUGCAAUAGUCUAAUUCCACGGAAUUCUUGAUUAUGUGCUGCACUUUCCUCUUAUCAAGAUAGUUUCUAGCAGUGAAUUAUGAUUCUCUUAUGUCACGUCAUAGUAUUUAGAUGUUAAGAUGCUGCGUGAAUAAAGCUAGCAGCCUAGCUUACAAGUGGAAAAAAAAAAGAUCAUGCUCAUGUUUUUCAGUACUAGGAUGACAAUGUCAUGGCAUAAUAUGUGCUGAAUUUGUGCGUUCCUUGUUUUUAACCUUUUCUUGCUGUAUGGAUUAUAGAAUGAAGCCUCAAUUGGUUCUUUUUGAGUGCCUAAUUUUAUAUUGAUUCCACUCGAUUGAUUGGUGAAGCUUCUUGCUGGGAGUUCCUUUUUAGGAAUAUAGAGGUAUAUACCGGUAGCCUGAUGGGAUUUCUUCCUUGAGAGUCAGAGGAACCGGUAGUCAAAUAAUAGAGCUCAUCUAUUGGGAUGGCUAGCCACCACCACAACUCCUCUGCCAUCUUUCAGUAUUUCUGCUACUUAAGGAGGUAAUUUUAUUACGUCAAAUGUUUGUGUGUUAUUUAUAUAUGUUUGGGUUCAAGUCUUGCUCCGUUCGUGCUUUUUAGCUGAUGAGAGAUGCUGGGUCCGACCAACUUGUUCCUUACUAAUUCUGAUUAUGUUGCUUUUGUUACCAUGAUAAGCAAGUUCAUUCUGAGCUGACAUCACUGUAUAAAUAGGUAUAUGGGUAGGCUAUAUGUUACUACUUUCAUUGUUGAUUAGUUGAAUUGAUGUAUGUUUCAGAGCUUUGGGAAUUGAUUUAGCAUGGAUUGAUUGUGGGAAAGUGUAAUGUUAUUUUUAGCUCAAUUUGUCCAUGAUACUUUGUAAACAUUUUGACACUACAGAAUGAGUUCCUGGAGAUCUGUUGGUUUCAA
Long non-coding RNA from Panicum virgatum (switchgrass), 1210 nucleotides. RefSeq lists it as uncharacterized. The record is from RefSeq and is a predicted model, not a curated record. The transcript has 2 exons. NCBI's taxonomy places the organism in Eukaryota, Viridiplantae, Streptophyta, Magnoliopsida, Poales, Poaceae.